GAUAUCUUGUGUUAUUGGGUCAGUGGGUAGUUAGCUAGUGGUGUUGGGUGGUAUUGGGUUAAUGCGUGGUGUUGACAUAGCUUGUUUUGUUGGGUUAGCAGGUAAUGGGUUAGCUAGAGGUGUUGGAUGGUAUUGGGAUAGCAGGUGUUGUUGGGUUAGUGAAUAAUGUUGGGUUAGCAGGUGAUGGGUUAGCUAGAGGUGUUGGAUGGUAUUGGGAUAGCAGGUGUUGUUGGGUUAGUGGGUGAUAUGUUAGCUGGUGGUGCUGGGUUCAUGUGUGGUGUUUGAUUAGCUGGUGGUGCUGGGUUAAUGUGUGGUGUUGGGUUGGCUGGUGGUGCUGGGUAAAUGUGUGGUGUUGGAUUAUCUGGUGGUGUUGGGUAAAUGCCUGUUGUUAGGUUAGUACACAGUGUUGGGUUAGCAGGUGAUGGGUUAGCUAGAGGUGUUGCAUGGUAUUGGGAUAGCUGGUGUUGUUGGGUUAGUACAUAGUGUUGGGUUUGCAGGUGAUGGGUUAGUUAGAGGUGUUAGAUGGUAUUGGGAUAGCUGGUGUUGUUGGGUUAGUGAAUAAUGUUGGGUUAGCAGGUGAUGGGUUAGCUAGAGGUGUUGGAUGGUAUUGGGUUAGCUGGUGUUGUUGGGUUAGUAAAUAGUGUU
Molecule: long non-coding RNA, 645 nt
Organism: Astyanax mexicanus (Mexican tetra)
Lineage: Eukaryota; Metazoa; Chordata; Actinopteri; Characiformes; Acestrorhamphidae
Exons: 3
Source: RefSeq, a predicted model, not a curated record